UCUAAAUCAUUUCUCUACCCUCCUCCUUAUCAGUAUAAGUAGGGGCCCUGAGCUACCACUCUGGUUAGCGCAGAAGUCACCCUUUUUGCCCUACAAAAUGUCUCUUCUCCAAGCAACAGUGAGAUGCGGCCUUACUGCCUUAUUCCUGGGGUUCUGCCUACAACUAGUCAUUGGGCAAGAUGAUGAAAACCGGAAGCCACUUGUCCUGAAAAUAAGCCCAAUACCAAGUGCUAAAAGAAAUGAACUAUGGGAAUUAAGAUGUAAUGUUUCAACUGAAGCAAGAGAAUGUGUGCCAAUGCUAAUAUAUCCUGGGACCACCUCAUCCACUAAUUGUGCUUAUAAGGCAUACUCAUAUAAAGCGUGUAUAUGCCCAGGAGACAGGGCAAGAAACUUCUACUGGGACAUAUGCAGCCAAAAUGAUGUAUAUGUGUAUUGUGAAGCUACUACUAUUUUAGAAAAUGGCAUCUGUGAAAAUGGUUACGUGCCGGUAACUCGCUACGUUGUUAAAGAAAACCAAACAUACAUUGCAAAUGACUGAAUUGGACUCCUGUUCUUCCCAUCCCUGGCUGGUCAUGCUACAGAGACAUGCCUUGGGAAUGAACAUCUGAAGCCACUGAGGUCUAUGAGAUAAACAUCCUAUAAAGAAAGCUUCUUGCUUGUCUGGGUUAUUCAAAUCUUGUUUUGUUUUGAUUGCAUUCCUCCCCCACAAUACCUACAAUUAAUGCCUGUAUACCUUAUAAUAAAGUUGAGUGAUCUCAAUAAUAUUUUUUCUUUCUCAUAACAAACACUAUGGAUUUCUAGGAUGUCGUUUUUUUUAAAAAAAUACUUUCAUAGCUAGGUGUGGUAGCCUGUUUCUGUAUUUCCUGCUACUAGGAAGAUCGAGGCUGGUAUAUCUCCUGAGCCCUGGAUUCUGAACUGGGUUAAGUAGAUGGAAUUGGCCCAAGUCAGAAAAAUGGAGCAAAUUAAAGUUCCCGUGAUGAUUGAUAUUAGAAUAAAGCCAAUGUACUUUCAUUUUGGGCAAGAUAGCACAGCUAAUCUAGAA
This 1042-nucleotide long non-coding RNA is filed under the name Sarcophilus harrisii (Tasmanian devil). Its description in RNAcentral is "lncRNA (ENSSHAG00000000986.2)". The record is from RNAcentral. Lineage: Eukaryota; Metazoa; Chordata; Mammalia; Dasyuromorphia; Dasyuridae.